GAGUGUGUAACAACUCACCUGCCGAAGCAACUAGCCCUGAAANUGGAUGGCGCUAAAGCUCCGUGCCUAUACCCGGCCGCCGGAAGGCAUUGGCGCGAGGUGCUCCUUCUGGGGGCGCCGAGCGCGCGAAGCCCCGGCGAGUAGGAGGGCGCGGCGGUGUGCGCGGAAGGGUCUGGGCGUGAGCCUGCCUGGAGCCGCCGCCGGUGCAGAUCUUGGUGGUAGUAGCAAAUACUCAAGCGAGGGCCUUGAGGGCUGAUGUGGAGAAGGGUUUCGUGUGAACAGCCGUUGCACACGAGUCAGUCGAUCCUAAGCCCUAGGAGAAAUCCGAUGUCGAUGCGGGGGGCUGUACACCAGAGUUCCCCCUCGAUGGGCGAAAGGGAAUCCGGUUCCUAUUCCGGAACCCGGCAGCGGAACCGAAUCUACGGGCCCUCGUCAGAGAAGCUCGUCGGGGUAACCCAAAGGGACCCGGAGACGCCGUCGGGAGACCCGGGCAGAGUUUUCUGUUCUGCAUAAGCGUUCGAGUUCCCUGGAAUCCUCUAGCAGGGAGAUAGGGUUUGGAACGCGAAGAGCACCGCAGUUGCGGCGGUGUCCGGGUCGUCCCCUCGGACCUUGAAAAUCCGGGAGAGGGUCACGCGGAGGUGUCGCGCCGGCUCGUACCCAUAUCCGCAGCA
Molecule: ribosomal RNA, 671 nt
Filed under: Stenophylla gallardi
Lineage: Eukaryota; Metazoa; Arthropoda; Insecta; Mantodea; Acanthopidae
Description: eukaryotic LSU rRNA
Rfam family: Eukaryotic large subunit ribosomal RNA
Source: RNAcentral